GAUGAAGAACGCAGCGAAAUGCGAUACGUAAUGUGAAUUGCAGAAUUCAGUGAAUCAUCGAAUCUUUGAACGCAUAUUGCGCUCUCUGGUAUUCCGGAGAGCAUGCUUGUUUGAGUAUCAGUAAACACCUCAACUUCCAUAUCUUUUUUGAAAUGGGAGUUGGACUUGAGUGAUCCCAACGCUUUUCCUCACCGAAAAGUGGCGGGUUACUUGAAAUGCAGGUGCAGCUGGACUUUUCUCUGAGCUAUAAGCAUAUCUAUUUAGUCUGCCUAAAAAACAGAUUAUUACCAUUGCUGCAGCUAACAUAAAGGAGAUUAGUUCUUGUGCUGACUGAUGCAGGAUUCACAAAGACAGGCUUCGGCCGACUUUGUAAACUCGAUCUCAAAUCAAGUAAGACUACCCGCUGAACUUAAGCAUAUCAAUAAGCGGAGGA
This 433-nucleotide unclassified non-coding RNA is filed under the name soil metagenome. RNAcentral's name for it is "partial contains 5.8S ribosomal RNA, internal transcribed spacer 2, and large subunit ribosomal RNA". The stretch from base 1 to 120 matches the Rfam family "5.8S ribosomal RNA", at positions 35 to 154 of the family's 154-position model. The record is from RNAcentral.